Molecule: ribosomal RNA, 253 nt
Filed under: uncultured bacterium
Lineage: Bacteria
Description: partial 16S ribosomal RNA
Rfam family: Bacterial small subunit ribosomal RNA
Source: RNAcentral
UACGUAGGUGGCGAGCGUUGUCCGGAUUUACUGGGCGUAAAGAGCGCGCAGGCGGCUGGUCAAGUCCGAUGUGAAAGCUCCCGGCUUAACUGGGAAAUUGCAUCGGAAACUGAUCGGCUGGAAGGUGGGAGAGGGUAGCGGAAUUCCCGGUGUAGUGGUGAAAUGCGUAGAUAUCGGGAGGAACACCAGUGGCGAAAGCGGCUGCCUGGCCCAAUACUGACACUCAGGUGCGACAGCGUGGGGAGCAAACAGG